AUGGAGACCUGUAUGAAUGGCAUAACGAGGGCUUAGCUGUCUCCUCUUUCAAGUCAAUGAAAUUGAUCUCCCCGUGCAGAAGCGGGGAUAACCACAUAAGACGAGAAGACCCUAUGGAGCUUUAGACACUAAAGCAGACCAUGUUAAGCACUCCAAAACAAAGGAUUAAACCAAAUGAUCCCUGCCCUAAUGUC
This 194-nucleotide ribosomal RNA is filed under the name Lutjanus cyanopterus (cubera snapper). Its description in RNAcentral is "partial large subunit ribosomal RNA". The record is from RNAcentral. Lineage: Eukaryota; Metazoa; Chordata; Actinopteri; Lutjaniformes; Lutjanidae.